CGAAAGACCGACGGAGCAAGACCGCGUGAGGGAGGAAGGCUCUUGGGUUGUAAACCUCUUUUCUCAGGGAAGAAGCUCUGACGGUACCUGAGGAAUCAGCCUCGGCUAACUCCGUGCCAGCAGCCGCGGUAAUACGGAGGAGGCAAGCGUUAUCCGGAAUUAUUGGGCGUAAAGCGUCCGCAGGUGGCGAUUCAAGUCUGCUGUCAAAGUCCAGGGCUCAACUCUGGGUCGGCAGUGGAAACUGGUUAACUUGAGUACGGUAGGGGUAGAGGGAAUUCCCAGUGUAGCGGUGAAAUGCGUAGAUAUUGGGAAGAACACCAGUGGCGAAGGCGCUCUACUGGGCCGUAACUGACGCUGAGGGACGAAAGCUAGGGGAGCG
Molecule: ribosomal RNA, 379 nt
Filed under: uncultured cyanobacterium
Lineage: Bacteria; Bacillati; Cyanobacteriota
Description: bacterial SSU rRNA
Rfam family: Bacterial small subunit ribosomal RNA
Source: RNAcentral